UGAAGAAAUAAUCGAAACUCCAAAUCAACAGUGGUGCGUAGAGUUGGAUCCCUCCAUUCGAACCCCAGCUACGAUAUCCUUAAUGAGUUUAAUUUAACCGGCGAAGUAUUUGAAGGAGCCCCAUAAUCCCACUAAGUGCUAGGGUUAUGAUCUUCGUGUUCAAUUCAAGCUCAUAUUUUUGGAAGAGCACUGGGUGGGAGUUGGAUGUGGUAGUUCCUGUAUGUACGAAAGCUUUGAUUUCAUAUGACUCUAGAAAGAGCUUUAAGGGUGAUGAAUCUUAGUAAUCAAGGAGGAAAAAAGAUAAAUUCGGGGGAAAACAAAAAUACUAAUAGAACUGUGCGAGCUGGAUAGUGGAACUCCUUAGUGUUUGAACUCAUAACCUUUUUCAUUGGAAAAAAUAUUGGUUCCUGCACAAGUGUAUUAAGCAAAUAUACCAAGUGAUCAUACAUGGGUUGGAGCUGUUGCUGGUGUUAUUCCUUCACUACCUUAGGGUUUGUUCCGGAAAAUGGCGAGAAUGUGAAUAGACUCCAACAGUACGUGAUAGGCUGACAUUUUAUUCAAGGAAGUAGGCUAUAAGGCUAACUCCUAUGGGCUCGAUUGGACUGCUAGAUUGACCAAAAAGUGUUGCAAUCAUGAAAAAAGUGUGGGAAAAAAGUUAAAACUCUAUCUGGCUACUUCUCUCUCCUAAAAACUGCUCGCAGUUCAACUAUCAGCGAAAUUAAAAAGCCGAAUAAUUCAUCGUUCAAAAAAUGAACCCAACGCUGAACGAUUCAGCGCUAGGCGAAUAUUCGGGAUAACCGCUGAAUGGUUGAGCGCUGACUAUUUUAUCCUGUGACAACGUUCAACUACUGUUUACACAGUGCUAUGAAUUUUAAAGAAGCACGUACCCCACUUUGA
Long non-coding RNA from Papaver somniferum (opium poppy), 897 nucleotides. RefSeq lists it as uncharacterized. The transcript has 7 exons. Lineage: Eukaryota; Viridiplantae; Streptophyta; Magnoliopsida; Ranunculales; Papaveraceae. The record is from RefSeq and is a predicted model, not a curated record.